RNAcentral lists this ribosomal RNA (1201 nucleotides) under Burkholderia vietnamiensis. RNAcentral describes it as "bacterial SSU rRNA". It matches the Rfam family "Bacterial small subunit ribosomal RNA", at positions 23 to 1257 of the family's 1533-position model. Lineage: Bacteria; Pseudomonadati; Pseudomonadota; Betaproteobacteria; Burkholderiales; Burkholderiaceae. The record is from RNAcentral.
CGUACAGUCAAGGAGACCAGCCUUCCGUGCAGUCGAACGGCAGCACGGGUGCUUGCACCUGGUGGCGAGUGGCGAACGGGUGAGUAAUACAUCGGAACAUGUCCUGUAGUGGGGGAUAGCCCGGCGAAAGCCGGAUUAAUACCGCAUACGAUCUAUGGAUGAAAGCGGGGGACCUUCGGGCCUCGCGCUAUAGGGUUGGCCGAUGGCUGAUUAGCUAGUUGGUGGGGUAAAGGCCUACCAAGGCGACGAUCAGUAGCUGGUCUGAGAGGACGACCAGCCACACUGGGACUGAGACACGGCCCAGACUCCUACGGGAGGCAGCAGUGGGGAAUUUUGGACAAUGGGCGAAAGCCUGAUCCAGCAAUGCCGCGUGUGUGAAGAAGGCCUUCGGGUUGUAAAGCACUUUUGUCCGGAAAGAAAUCCUUGGCUCUAAUACAGUCGGGGGAUGACGGUACCGGAAGAAUAAGCACCGGCUAACUACGUGCCAGCAGCCGCGGUAAUACGUAGGGUGCAAGCGUUAAUCGGAAUUACUGGGCGUAAAGCGUGCGCAGGCGGUUUGCUAAGACCGAUGUGAAAUCCCCGGGCUCAACCUGGGAACUGCAUUGGUGACUGGCAGGCUAGAGUAUGGCAGAGGGGGGUAGAAUUCCACGUGUAGCAGUGAAAUGCGUAGAGAUGUGGAGGAAUACCGAUGGCGAAGGCAGCCCCCUGGGCCAAUACUGACGCUCAUGCACGAAAGCGUGGGGAGCAAACAGGAUUAGAUACCCUGGUAGUCCACGCCCUAAACGAUGUCAACUAGUUGUUGGGGAUUCAUUUCCUUAGUAACGUAGCUACGCGUGAAGUUGACCGCCUGGGGAGUACGGUCGCAAGAUUAAAACUCAAAGGAAUUGACGGGGACCCGCACAAGCGGUGGAUGAUGUGGAUUAAUUCGAUGCAACGCGAAAACCUUACCUACCCUUGACAUGGUCGGAAUCCUGAGAGAUUCGGGAGUGCUCGAAGAGACCGGCGCACAGUGCUGCAUGCUGUCGUCAGCUCGUGUCGUGAGAUGUGGGUUAGUCCCGCAACGAGCGCAACCCUGUUCUAGUGCUACGCAGAGCACUCUAUGAACUGCAGUGACACGAGAGUUGGGGAUGACGUCAGUCCUCAUGCCUAUGGUAGGCCUUCCACCCUCAUACCAUGGUCGGAACGAGAGGGUGUGCGAGCU